RNAcentral lists this small RNA (209 nucleotides) under Paenibacillus lactis 154. RNAcentral's name for it is "Bacillus sRNA ncr1575". It matches the Rfam family "Bacillus sRNA ncr1575". The record is from Rfam by way of RNAcentral. Lineage: Bacteria; Bacillati; Bacillota; Bacilli; Caryophanales; Paenibacillaceae.
GAACAUAAUGAUGAGAGGACUGAUGGAUGGACAAUGGUUAACUAAUCUAUAUUUUUAUUUGAGUUGAAUAACUUCCAAAUACAAAAUAUAGGGUUAGUCUAUCCAUUUCUAUAAAUCAGUGUACAUGUCAUGAAUUUAAUGGCAAACUACAAACUUAUUUAUGAAAAUUAACGGCUAAUCCUUCCAUAUCCAUUUGGGAGGAUUUUUUA